GACGAACGCUGGCGGCGUGCUUAACACAUGCAAGCCGAGCGGUAAGGCCCUUUCGGGGGUACACGAGCGGCGAACGGGUGAGUAACACGUGGGUGACCUGCCCUCAGCUCUGGGAUAAGCCUGGGAAACCGGGUCUAAUACUGGAUAUGACUCCAUGACGCAUGUUGUGGGGUGGAAAGCCUUGUGCGGCUGAGGAUGGGCCCGCGGCCUAUCAGCUUGUUGGUGGGGUGANGGCCUACCAAGGCGACGACGGGUAGCCGGCCUGAGAGGGCGACCGGCCACACUGGGACUGAGACACGGCCCAGACUCCUACGGGAGGCAGCAGUGGGGAAUCUUGCGCAAUGGGCGAAAGCCUGACGCAGCGACGCCGCGUGAGGGAUGACGGCC
RNAcentral lists this ribosomal RNA (387 nucleotides) under uncultured bacterium. Its description in RNAcentral is "bacterial SSU rRNA". It matches the Rfam family "Bacterial small subunit ribosomal RNA", at positions 28 to 416 of the family's 1533-position model. The record is from RNAcentral.